GAUGAACGCUAGCUACAGGCUUAACACAUGCAAGUCGCAGGGUAACAUGAGGAAAGCUUGCUUUCCUUGAUGACGACUGGCGCACGGGUGAGUAACGCGUAUCCAACCUUCCCAUAACUACGGGAUAACCCGUUGAAAGACGGCCUAAUACCGUAUGAUAUCGUUUGCUGACAUCAAAUAACGAUUAAAGGUUUAGCGGUUAUGGAUGGGGAUGCGUCUGAUUAGCUUGUUGGCGGGGUAACGGCCCACCAAGGCGACGAUCAGUAGGGGUUCUGAGAGGAAGGUCCCCCACAUUGGAACUGAGACACGGUCCAAACUCCUACGGGAGGCAGCAGUGAGGAAUAUUGGUCAAUGGGCGAGAGCCUGAACCAGCCAAGUAGCGUGCAGGAUGACGGCCCUAUGGGUUGUAAACUGCUUUUAGGUGGGGAUAAAGUGCGUGACGUGUCAUGCAUUGCAGGUACCACAUGAAUAAGGACCGGCUAAUUCCGUG
Molecule: ribosomal RNA, 490 nt
Filed under: uncultured bacterium
Lineage: Bacteria
Description: partial 16S ribosomal RNA
Rfam family: Bacterial small subunit ribosomal RNA
Source: RNAcentral